This is a non-coding RNA of Phrynosoma platyrhinos (Desert horned lizard), 72 nucleotides long. Lineage: Eukaryota; Metazoa; Chordata; Lepidosauria; Squamata; Phrynosomatidae. The record is from the annotation of a GenBank genome assembly.
GCCCUGGUGGCACAGUGGUUAAAUGCCUGUACUGCGGCUACAAGGUUGUGGGUUCAAUCCCAGGCAGGGGCU